UUAGGAGUAGGGUUAGGAGUAGGGUUAAGGGUAGGGGUAGGCUUGGGCUAGGAGUAGGGUUAGAGUUAGGGUAGGGUUAGGAAUAGGGUUAGGGUACCUCUACCCCUAACCCUAAACUACCCCUACCCCGAACCCUACUCCUAACCCGACCCCUAACCCUACUCCUAACUCUAACCCUACCCUAACCCUUCUCCUAACCCAACCCUAACCCUACUCCUAACCCUAACCCUACUCCUAACCCUAACCCUGCUUCUAACCCUACCCUAACCCUACUCCUAACCCUACCCUACCCUAA
Non-coding RNA from Pelobates cultripes (western spadefoot toad), 295 nucleotides. The record is from the annotation of a GenBank genome assembly. NCBI's taxonomy places the organism in Eukaryota, Metazoa, Chordata, Amphibia, Anura, Pelobatidae.